Haemorhous mexicanus (house finch) is the source of this 839-nucleotide long non-coding RNA. RefSeq lists it as uncharacterized. The transcript has 3 exons. The record is from RefSeq and is a predicted model, not a curated record. NCBI's taxonomy places the organism in Eukaryota, Metazoa, Chordata, Aves, Passeriformes, Fringillidae.
GAACCGGAGCAGGGGUCUCCCGGCUCGGCCCGGAUUGGCCUGGCCCGGUCCUGGCCCCGCGCUGCCGGCCAGCGGCGCUCCAUUAGCCCCGCGGCCACCGUGGCGGGCCCCGCUCGGGAGAGCGGCGCUCCGAGCACCUGUUGCUCGGGGUGUUCGGCCGUGACAGGGCAGCAGAAGUGGUCUCACGACGGUUCGUUUCCGGUCGGGGAGCCAGGAGGCUCUCGGGCAGGUGCCGCGCCCGACCUGGCCACAGCGCCUCCGAUAAAGGUGACCGGCUGGCCUGGCCUCUCCCGGCUGAGCGUUUGCUGCUGCUGGAAGAAAACUAGUCCAGAGCAUGUGCCACCAGCAGCCUGGCUGUCAGCCUCCUGUCAGGGAGGCACAGCAGAACUGACACUGCCAGCUCAUGCCCAGCCACAAACAUAGCCCUCCCUCCCCAGUGAGAAGAGAGAGGAAAAGCAUAAGGGGAAACAAGCCUGGUGUGUCUUGCUGUGGACCUGCUGCCCCAGAACUUCGCUGUUCUUGCUGCUGUAGAAGAGCUCCCAGCCUUCACCUCACUGCCAGGUCUACAAGUGGCCAUGGGCUCACCCCCUGGGCAAGUGCUUUUCUGCAUUGCUACUUCAGCACUCACAGUUCUAGGCAUGCGUGUCACUUAGUCCAAAAAAGUUGCAAAAAUAAAAGAAAUUGAAGAAAAAAUGUUGAGGUUUAAAAAAGUAUUGGGGAUAAAAUUUGUCACUUGUUGCAAUCUUGCUCUGAUUUUGUAUCAUCGAAUUUGCUACCACCUGCAACAUCCCUUUCUUGUCUCUUAUGUUGCUGCAAUUAAACUAUACACCAUCACACAA